Molecule: microRNA precursor, 64 nt
Filed under: Octodon degus (degu)
Lineage: Eukaryota; Metazoa; Chordata; Mammalia; Rodentia; Octodontidae
Description: miRNA (ENSODEG00000022393.1)
Source: RNAcentral
CAGAGGAUAUGUGCGGUGGCACGUGCCUGUAACCUCAGCUCUUGGGAGGCUGAGGCAGGAGGAU